CUGCUUUGUGGCCGAACAACGGAGCCUGGGAGCCACUCAAGCUUCUGCUCCAUGGCACUCAGCAGCUGGUGUUCAACAACUAAAAUUUAGAGACCAGAACUAGAAAGGUAACUGGGCUAAGAAGAUAGCCAACAUUUUGGCUUUGGCCCUUCAAGGUCUACAAAUAACCCAGGUCAUGAAAGAAUCUUUUCUACAAGAUCCUACAACUUAGAAAAUAAGAUGCUGUGGCCAUCCUCCCAGAAUGUACCACCAGGGACCAAGAUGAUGGAUUCACUGCAAGCAGCA
Molecule: long non-coding RNA, 285 nt
Organism: Fukomys damarensis (Damara mole-rat)
Lineage: Eukaryota; Metazoa; Chordata; Mammalia; Rodentia; Bathyergidae
Exons: 3
Source: RefSeq, a predicted model, not a curated record